UUUCCCCACUGUUCAUUAUUUACGGGCGCUGUUAAAUGUGCCCGCGUUUCCGAAGCGCUCCUGAACGCACCGCUCCUCACAUGAGGGAGCGGAUGUAAACAGCAGAAAGAACGCAGCAGAUCGACUCACCGGCAGUCAGCCUCAGUUUCGUUUUGGUGAGUAGAGACCUAGGGCAGUUCCACGGUGACUUCUUGGUCCCAAGCCGUUCUCUCAGCUCUGCCUCUCCGCGUUCACGACUGGCGAGUGCUUUGCAUCUGCACACCUGCCUCACUCUCACUGAUUACACGGACGGCACACCUGGCGCUUCGCAGCGCAGACCAAUAACAGGAGGCCGGAGACUUUGGGAUCUCUUCAGGGUUGGAUGUGACCAAACAAGCUAAAAAUAAAAGAGGCAUCAUCUGAAGGCCUAAUCUAAGCAGGUUGUCAGUCUGGCGUCAUAAAGGCUC
Molecule: long non-coding RNA, 446 nt
Organism: Salarias fasciatus (jewelled blenny)
Lineage: Eukaryota; Metazoa; Chordata; Actinopteri; Blenniiformes; Blenniidae
Exons: 3
Source: RefSeq, a predicted model, not a curated record